Molecule: ribosomal RNA, 302 nt
Filed under: uncultured bacterium
Lineage: Bacteria
Description: bacterial SSU rRNA
Rfam family: Bacterial small subunit ribosomal RNA
Source: RNAcentral
AACGAACGCUGGCGGCGUGGAUUAGGCAUGCAAGUCGAACGCGAAAGAGGGAGCAAUCCCUCGAGUAGAGUGGCGAACGGGUGAGUAACGCGUGAAGAACCUGCCUUCAACAGGGGGAUAACACGUCCCAACGGGGGUGCUAAUACCACAUGAGACCACGGGUCUGCAUGGACCUGAGGUCAAAGGUGGCCUCUGCUUGCAAGCUACCGGUUGAAGAUGGCUUCGCGUCCCAUUAGCUAGUUGGCGGUGUAAAGGACCACCAAGGCGACGAUGGGUAGCUGGUCUGAGAGGAUGGUCAGCCA